CUCACAGCUUCCCUUUCUUGGAAAUAUUUGCUGCCAUAUGCUGGCUGCUCCUUUCCUGAACCCAUGCUGUGGACAAGGGAGCAGAGUCAGAGGGAGGAGCGCACAGACCAGUAACCGAAGCCAAACUGAUGAAGUGAUGUCACAGCAAAGCUGUGGCCUGAUGGGCUGGUCGAAAUUGGCAGGUACGAUAUGAUGGGCUUCAUGGAGACGUCUCUGCAAGAGGAUUGGGACUGGGAGCAAAAUAUCCAAAAAGUACAUCUUACCGAAAAUACAGACAGUUUCAGCUACCCUUAGCAAUUCGCACUUGCCUAUCCUAGGGCAGUUCUGCUGACUUAUCACUCUUGAAUAUCAAUUGACACUUUAGUAGUGACAGCUCAUGACUAAUGAUGUCCUUUUCAGCCAAUCUUGUUUUGAUGGUAUCUGCUGUACUAUGUAAUCAUUGUUUGAAGCUCCACCUCAUUAAGUUACAAUCUCCCAUUUCUUUCACUUUGUGUGCUCCAUCUUUUACCACCACCUGUGCAAUCUGACCCCAUUUGCACAGGUUGCAUAAUUCAUUCCCAUUCACUAAAGUAGGGCAGUCUUAAUCUAACAAAGUCAGAUAAUUUAACUUACUGCCGGGGUAAAUUAACAUG
Stegostoma tigrinum is the source of this 632-nucleotide long non-coding RNA. RefSeq lists it as uncharacterized. NCBI's taxonomy places the organism in Eukaryota, Metazoa, Chordata, Chondrichthyes, Orectolobiformes, Stegostomatidae. The transcript is spliced from 4 exons. The record is from RefSeq and is a predicted model, not a curated record.